GAUCAUGGCUUAGGAUGAACGCUGGCGGCGCGCCUAACACAUGCAAGUCGAACGGCACCUAUCUUCGGAUAGAAGCGAGUGGCGAACGGCUGAGUAACACGUGGAGAACCUGCCCCCUCCCCCGGGAUAGCCGCCCGAAAGGACGGGUAAUACCGGAUACCCCGGGGUGCCGCAUGGCACCCCGGCUAAAGCCCCGACGGGAGGGGAUGGCUCCGCGGCCCAUCAGGUAGACGGCGGGGUGACGGCCCACCGUGCCGACAACGGGUAGCCGGG
RNAcentral lists this ribosomal RNA (273 nucleotides) under uncultured bacterium. Its description in RNAcentral is "partial 16S ribosomal RNA". It matches the Rfam family "Bacterial small subunit ribosomal RNA", at positions 15 to 291 of the family's 1533-position model. The record is from RNAcentral.